UUUAUAUAUUUAAUUAUAUAAUUAUUUAUAUAAUUAAUUAAUGUAUAAAAUUACGAAACAUGCGCGGUCUAGUGAUUAAUUCUGGAGAUCGUCUGCUCGAUGCAGAUGAUACUUCCGUUCUCCAGCAAAAAUUUGAACAAAUAGUUCGAAACUUUUUUUAUCGGUUUUAUCGAACUCUUUGCAAUAAUAAUUUAGUUAACGAGUAUUGUCAAUUCUAUCUCGGCCCGGUCGUUUUGAGACAGCAGGAGCUUUUCGCGCGAUUAUUCCAGUAUUUUCGAAGAAUAAGAAGAAGCACGGGGAGAUAAAAUUGCAAAUUGCAUUGCCAAAACUGUAUUGAUGAAAUCAUUUUCCGGUUCUACUGGACAGGGAAAGGCGAAGAAAAUGAAAAAUGAAAAGUUGUCGGAAGAGAAAUUCCUAAAACUCGCUGGGACAUUUCAGUCUGGUUAAAAUCCAUUCCUCCAGUCUCUCCCCCCCUCCCCUGCAAUACACGGCGUUUACAUUUACGUUUUAAGCUACUUGACGACUAGCAGACGUCUGCGAAAUAUCUGAGAAGGAAAGUUCGGGAAGAAAUUGAGAAAAAAAUUUGAAACUUUGUGGAAAAGUAGUUGACGCAAUGAUGAUAAUGUGACAAUUUGUUUUUCUUACUGAAAAAUCGUCCUAGAAGACGAAAACGCCCCUCCAAAGAAACGUCAGCUUCUCACGUUAUCGUGAAUAUUUGCCAAGUUUCGUAAAAUCUAGAAAGAGAAGUUAAGUUGUAAAAAUUUUAUUGUCUUUCAUGGUCUAUGCUGUGGUGGUGAAAAAUUCUCGUGUUCGAUGGCGAGAAAUUUUCAGAAGAGACCAUAGAAAACAAUAUAACGUUUAAUCUAUUUUAUUUUCUGCGUACCUCGAGGUAGAAUUUCUUGCAAGUGUUCGUGCGCAUGCGACACGCGCACAUUAAGCGCAUGCGCAAAAGACGCGUCCACGCCACACAAUGGCUCCCGCCUCGCUCAAAUGCAACAAUUUGAAAAUCGCGUACGUAUAUUUUACAUACAAUUUUAUAAGUGUUUAUAAUAAUACGAAAAGUCAAGAGAGAUAUUAUUAUUUACAAUCAUAUCAAAAGUCUUUGAAAGGGUGUGUUUCGCCUCUGAAAUUGCUUUUUGGUAGAAAGAAGAAAUUAUUACGUCACCAGCGUCACGUGACACUACGUUUUGUGCAUAGUUUCAUGUCUUUGAGCUGCCGAACUUCCCUUGCUACGAUGUUUCGAUGUUUCUAAAAGGAAAAAAAAAAAAAAAAGAACUGUUGUGUAAAUAAGAAAAAUCGGAGAGUGCAUAUCGCGAAAACGCUGCAGAGAAUCGUGGUGUGAGAGAGUGGGAGAGAAAGAGCUAAGAGCUAAAAAGAUAAGAGAGAAAUUAAAGACAAAAGAGAGUGAGUGUGUGAGAAAGAGAGAGAGAGAGAGGAAGUGACAGAAAAAGCAACCGGACGGAGAAAGAGAAUAAAACAGAUGUUUGUGUUUUGACGAAUGGCUCAAUCAUUUUAAACACGCGUUCUUCUAGACUCUAGAAUGCUCUCUCGCCGUUAGGAAGCUGCGAGACCGAAGAGCGGGAGCUUGUACCGGACGUUGCGGAUGAAUCCGUGGCAAGGAAUCGUCCACGAGUCGAAAAGUUUGCAAGAUGAAAGUGAAAAUGAAGAAAAAAAGCAGUUUACUAGAAAAUACCACGAAUGUCUAAAACUGUUCGGAAAUUAAUAAUCCUCCUUGGGUCGACUAGAAUUUCUGUUCUGUUUGCGAACAAAUCGCGAUUCAGAACUUACUGAUGGUUGCCUACGGAGGGUUUUUAAUUGUUCAGAAAUAUAUCAAUUAUUAUAAAAGUUUCAGGAUAAAGGGGAACACGGGUCUUCGUUAAUUCACGACAAACGGUUCUCGAUGUGAGAUCGAUUGAUGCAGUGACGAGCCUUCGAUUCCUCUCUCCUGCCCGGUUCCAAAGUUUGAAGGGCCUCCAAGCGAUCCCGAAGGAUUUUCACUAUUGCCUCAAAUUCACCGAAAGGUUUUUCAUUAACCCAGAUAUGUCCAAAUUUCCAUCACGAGGUAACGUUAUUAAAUUCGCGAGCUUAAACAUAUUAAAUUUAGUACUUGAGUUAAAUUGAGGUGUGUCAGUUGUUGUUAGUCGCGUUGUUGAUUCCUAAUUUAUUCCAUGCAGAAGGUGCGUUAAAUGCUGCCAAAAGACAGAGGCAAACGUAACGUUGCAGUUAGUUUCUCCAGGAAUAAUUGGGCAUAUCCGAGUUAAGUACCAAAUUAUUCUUAAUCUCUGAAGAGGAGAGAUUCCUCAGAGAUCUGUUCAGUUGGUCGCUGAUCAAAUCGUCUUAUUGAGGAACCGGAACCGUCUCACACGUGCAAAUUGAUCAUCACACAUCGUUGUAUCGCGGUGUGCGAAGAGAAACGCGAGGAAUAUUCGUGAAACAUAGAUCAAGAAGAAUCUACGGGAGAACGUUUGUAGAAACGACAAACGAAAGGAACGAUUGUCGUGCGUUAUUAGUACGAAAAUUUGAAAGAAAAAGAGAAAAAGGAAGGAGCUCCGCUCUGUGUUAAUUAUAACGAAAACUUUCUUUUUUUAGGCGCGAGAAAGGGGAGAAAAGGAAAACAAAAGCGAGAGAAAAAAGAAAUAGGAAAAAAUGGCGUAAAAAAAAGAAAAAAACUAAAAAGAGAGAAAUCCGUAGGAAAUAAAGCAAGAAGCUUCGUCGUGGACGGCUCUAAGCCUGUUAUUUUCUGAGAGACAGCAAAUUAUUUAUUCCUAAUAGAGUCUAUUCUUAUAAAUAUAUAUCUUUCGACUGAGUUCCGCGUCGACUUGCCGGAAGCAACCGUUCGUAUCCGUAAAUUCGUUCGCGUGUAAAACGAGUAAUAUAAUAAAAAUGAUGAACAAAUAAAAGGAGAAGAAAAAAAGUAACAAAAGAAGGAAAGAAAGAAAGAGAUCAACAUUUUUCGCUGUAUGUUUAUUCUCAAAGAAAUUAUACGGCUAUUAUUAUAUACAUAUAUAUAUAUAUAUAUAUAUAUAUACAUAUAUAUAUAAAGAAAAAUUACAAAAUUAUAUAUAUAUGUAUAGAAAGAGGAUAAAAAGAAUUAAAAAAAAGAAAAAAAUGAAAAAAGUGGUGGAGCGUUUUACGAGAAGAGCGUAUAUGCUAUAUACUUAUACGACAUUUCGAAGCACGUCUGUUUAAGGAAUUGUUACAGAAUGAAUUCAAUAAAAAAAAAAAAAAAAAAAAAAGAAAUAUUACCUUAAUACAAAUUUCAUUACGCUGGCGAUCUUUUAAGUAAGGGUGACAUUGUUAAACAAUUCAUUUCACUUCAUCUACUUUCAACUAACUACCUGUACCAAAUCAUUGUGUACUAAUCUAAUUUCAUUUAAUAUAUUGACUGUUAAGCCUUUGGA
Frieseomelitta varia is the source of this 3401-nucleotide long non-coding RNA. RefSeq lists it as uncharacterized. NCBI's taxonomy places the organism in Eukaryota, Metazoa, Arthropoda, Insecta, Hymenoptera, Apidae. The record is from RefSeq and is a predicted model, not a curated record. The transcript is spliced from 2 exons.